AAGCCUACCCUAGCUCCACCAACCACAAUCAAGAACCCACCACCACACCCAACCAAAACAUUCUCAUCCAACCUAGUAUAGGCGAUAGAAAAGUGCAACUCGGACGCCAUAGAAAAAGUACCGCAAGGGAAAGAUGAAAUAACAAUGAAAACCAAGCACCACAUAGCAAAGAUAAACCCUUGUACCUCUUGCAUCAUGAUUUAGCAAGAACAACCAGACAAAGCGAGCUUAAGCCUGCCACCCCGAAACCCAAGCGAGCUACUAACAAGCAGCUGCCCCGAGCCAACCCGUCUCUGUUGCAAAAGAGUGGGACGACUUAUUAGUAGAGGUGAAAAGCCAACCGAGCUGAGUGAUAGCUGGUUACCUGCAAAACGAAUUUGAGUUCUACCUCAGCCCCUUCCCCAAGACAAACCAAUCAAGUCCCCAUGCAAUGGGCUAAGAGCUAUUUAAAGGGGGUACAGCCCCUUUAAAAAAGGAUACAACCUCCACCAGCGGAUAACCCCACCCCAACCUAACCCCCGUGGGCCUUAAAGCAGCCACCCUUAAAGAACGCGUCAAAGCUCUACAAACUAAAAAAUCCAAAAACAACGUAAAUCCCUGAACCCAUAGCAGGUCAACCUACAACAGUAGAUGAAUUAAUGCUAGAACGAGUAACCAGGACACCAAGUCCCCUAAAGCGCCAACCUAAACACCAUUAACAGCACAGCCCCAAUACCAAACCCCCGACUAAACAUUGAGCACACCCUGUCAGACCAACCCAGGAGCGCACACUAGGAUGAUUAAAAUCUGCAGAAGGAACUCGGCAAACCUAAGACCCGACUGUUUACCAAAAACAUAGCCUUCAGCCGAACAAGUAUUGAAGGUGAUGCCUGCCCAGUGACACACGUUUAACGGCCGCGGUAUCCUAACCGUGCAAAGGUAGCGCAAUCAAUUGUCCCAUAAAUCGAGACCUGUAUGAACGGCUAAACGAGGCCUUAGCUGUCUCCUGCAGAUAAUCAGUGAAAUUGAUCCCUCUGUACAAAAGCAGAGAUGAACACAUAAGACGAGAAGACCCUGUGGAACUUCAAAAUCAAUAGCCACCACACCCAACCUACAAACCCACCAGGCUCACUACCCAAAAACACUGGCUAACAUUUUUAGGUUGGGGCGACCUUGGAGAAAAACAAACCCUCCAAAAAUAGGGCCAACCCCCUAACUAAGAGCAACCCCUCAACGUGCCAACAGCACCCAGACCCAGUAAAACUGACCAAUGAACCAAGCUACCCCAGGGAUAACAGCGCAAUCUCCCCCAAGAGCCCCUAUCGACGAGGAGGUUUACGACCUCGAUGUUGGAUCAGGACAUCCUAGUGGUGCAGCCGCUACUAAGGGUUCGUUUGUUCAACGAUUAACAGUCCUACGUGAUCUGAGUUCAGACCGGAGUAAUCCAGGUCGGUUUCUAUCUAUGAUUAGCCUUUCCCAGUACGAAAGGACCGGAAAGAUAGGGCCAAUGCCCCAAGUACGCCCUCUCCCUAAGCGAUGUACUCAACUAAAUCACUAAAGGACCACACAUUACCCCAACGAAAAAGGCUG
Molecule: ribosomal RNA, 1569 nt
Filed under: Amazona auropalliata
Lineage: Eukaryota; Metazoa; Chordata; Aves; Psittaciformes; Psittacidae
Description: 16S ribosomal RNA
Rfam family: Bacterial large subunit ribosomal RNA
Source: RNAcentral